CCAUUUUUUCCCCCAUUUUCAGAGGCCACGCCCGAGCCCAUGACGGUGUACGCCCAGGUGGGGCCUUCCCUGCAGUGCACCCCAAAUGGGGUGAAAGGUGGAUCCAAGGAAGAUCCGGACACGGAAUCUUCCAGAACCGUUUACUCCCUGGUCAAACGUCCAGAGCAGGUGCAUGAUGGGAACACGGAAAAUGUCACACCGAGCGGCCUGGACGUGGUUUAGGAUCUGGAGCUGGUUUAGGAUCUGGAGCUGGUUUAUAGGGUCUGGAACUGGUUUAUAGGAUCAGAACUGUUUUAUGGGGUCUCCUCUCCUCAGUCAGACCAACAGACUCCACAAUGCGACCCCGGAACUGCUCGGGAACGGCUCCGACACCCCAAUCCCGCUCCGGACACGGAUCUCUCCCUCCCGGGAUCGCCCCUCCCCUCUCAUCGUUGCUGCCUCAGUUUCCCCCCUCAGCCUCAGUUUGGGAUUUCGGAGCCUUUUGGGGUCUCUCUCCUGGAUUUUGGCAGUUCUGU
This is a long non-coding RNA of Malurus melanocephalus (red-backed fairy wren), 515 nucleotides long. RefSeq lists it as uncharacterized. The record is from RefSeq and is a predicted model, not a curated record. The transcript is spliced from 3 exons. Lineage: Eukaryota; Metazoa; Chordata; Aves; Passeriformes; Maluridae.